GGGGGUCAUCAGCGGCAGACGGGUGAGUAACACGUAGGUGAUCUACCCCAGAGACGGGGAUAACGGGUGGAAACAUCCGCUAAUACCGGAUAGGCUUGUUCGGUCAAAGGGACAAGGAAAGGCUCCGGCGCUCUGGGAGGAGCCUGCAGCCCAUCAGCUAGUUGGCGGGGUAACGGCCACCAAGCAAGACGGGUAGGGGGUGUGAGAGCAUGGCCCCCCACAUGGGACUGGAACACGCCAUACUCCUACGGGAGGCAGCAGCAGGGAAUAUUGCACAAUGGACGGAAGUCUGAUGCAGCGACGCCGCGUGGAUGAAGAAGGCCCUCGGGUUGUAAAUCCUUUACAGGGGGAAGAGGAAGGACGGUCCCCUGGAACAAGUGUCGGCUAACUACGUGCCAGCAGCCGCGGUAAGACGUAGGACACAAGCGUUAUCCGGAUUUACUGGGCGUAAAGCGUCUGCAGGCGGACAGGUAAGUUGGGCGUGAAAGCUCCGGGCCCAACCCGGAGAGGUCGUUCAAUACUGCGUGUCUAGAGGGUGUCAGAGGGGAGUGGAAUUUCCGGAGUAGCGGUAAAAUGCGCAGAGAUCGGAAAGAACACCAAUGGCGAAGGCAGCUCCCUGGGGCAACCCUGACGCUAAGAGACGAAAGCUAGGGGGGAGCGAACAGGGGACUUAGGAGGAACCCCUGGUAGUCCUAGCCCUAAACGAUGGAUGCUGGAUGUGGGGCCCAUAGCGCUCCGUGUCCGAAGCGAACGCGUUAAGCAUCCCGCCUGGGGACUACGGGCCGCAAGGUUAAAACUCAAACGAAUUGACGGGGACCCCGCACAAGCAGCGGAGCGUGUGGUUUAAUUCGAUGCUACACGAAGAACCUUA
RNAcentral lists this ribosomal RNA (871 nucleotides) under uncultured organism. Its description in RNAcentral is "bacterial SSU rRNA". It matches the Rfam family "Bacterial small subunit ribosomal RNA", at positions 84 to 973 of the family's 1533-position model. The record is from RNAcentral.